AAUUUUUAUAAAAUAAAUAUUCUACAAUGGCGGACUUCGGGUCUAGUUCAGUAAUCUCCCGACAGAUCGACUUGACCUUGUGGAAGUACUGAGCAAUCGUCAUGUCACGUUGUGAAAUUGACAACAACUCAUUCUU
This is a long non-coding RNA of Cucurbita maxima (winter squash), 136 nucleotides long. RefSeq lists it as uncharacterized. Lineage: Eukaryota; Viridiplantae; Streptophyta; Magnoliopsida; Cucurbitales; Cucurbitaceae. The record is from RefSeq and is a predicted model, not a curated record. The transcript is spliced from 3 exons.